This 239-nucleotide unclassified non-coding RNA is filed under the name Uncobasidium sp. Its description in RNAcentral is "partial contains 5.8S ribosomal RNA, internal transcribed spacer 2, and large subunit ribosomal RNA". The stretch from base 1 to 52 matches the Rfam family "5.8S ribosomal RNA", at positions 103 to 154 of the family's 154-position model. Lineage: Eukaryota; Fungi; Basidiomycota; Agaricomycetes; Polyporales; Meruliaceae. The record is from RNAcentral.
AACGCACAUUGCGCCCCUUGGUAUUCCGAGGGGCAUGCCUGUUCGAGCGUCAUUAUGACCACUCAAGCCUAGCUUGGUAUUGGGGUUCGCGGUUCCGCGGCCUCUAAAAUCAGUGGCGGUGCCGUCUGGCUUCAAGCGUAGUAAUUUUCUCGCUACGGAGUCCGGGCGGUUGCUUGCCAAAACUCCCCCAACUUCUCACGGUUGACCUCGGAUCAGGUAGGGAUACCCGCUGAACUUAA